RNAcentral lists this ribosomal RNA (207 nucleotides) under uncultured bacterium. RNAcentral describes it as "partial 16S ribosomal RNA". It matches the Rfam family "Bacterial small subunit ribosomal RNA", at positions 568 to 774 of the family's 1533-position model. The record is from RNAcentral.
CGUCUAGGCGGUGUCUUAAGUUGGGCGUGAAAUCUCCCGGCUUAACUGGGAGGCUGCGUUCAAUACUGGGACACUUGAGGGCAGGAGAGGAAAGUGGAAUUCCCGGUGUAGUGGUGGAAUACUUAGAUAUCGGGAGGAACACCAGUGGCGAAGGCGGCUUUCUGGCCUGUACCUGACGCUGAAGCGCGAAAGCGUGGGUAGCGAACG